Non-coding RNA from Vicia faba (fava bean), 306 nucleotides. The record is from the annotation of a GenBank genome assembly. NCBI's taxonomy places the organism in Eukaryota, Viridiplantae, Streptophyta, Magnoliopsida, Fabales, Fabaceae.
AUGAGGAGAAGGUUUCAAGACAUUCUUAUGAAAAUAUAUAUAGAAAUUAAAAUCAUAUUUAACUUUAUUUUACAAUCUCUAAUAGUGUCAAUAACAUUAAUGAUUUGUCCAUCAUUCAUCACAAAUGUCUGCAUUUCACACGAGGUGGUGACAUUGGAGGAGCUUGUCUUCAACUUGAAAACCUUUUUUCUAAGAAUAGUGUUACCGGUUGCACUCUUGCCAUUGCUGGUUUGCUCAAACAAAACCAAUGUCUUGACAUUAUUAGACGGGGAAGCAAACUCCCAAUCAUCAAGGGAAACAACAUAA